RNAcentral lists this ribosomal RNA (253 nucleotides) under uncultured bacterium. RNAcentral describes it as "partial 16S ribosomal RNA". It matches the Rfam family "Bacterial small subunit ribosomal RNA", at positions 524 to 776 of the family's 1533-position model. The record is from RNAcentral.
GACGAACCGUACGAACGUUAUUCGGAAUUACUGGGCUUAAAGGGUGCGUAGGCUGCGCAGUAAGUUGGGUGUGAAAUCCCUCGGCUUAACCGAGGAACUGCGCCCAAAACUACUGUGCUCGAGGGAGACAGAGGUGAGCGGAACUUAGGGUGGAGCGGUGAAAUGCGUUGAUAUCCUAAGGAACACCUGUGGCGAAAGCGGCUCACUGGGUCUCUUCUGACGCUGAGGCACGAAAGCUAGGGUAAAGAACGGG